RNAcentral lists this long non-coding RNA (506 nucleotides) under Bos taurus (domestic cattle). RNAcentral's name for it is "long non-coding RNA NONBTAT025706". Lineage: Eukaryota; Metazoa; Chordata; Mammalia; Artiodactyla; Bovidae. The record is from RNAcentral.
GUGAAUACUACUUCAAAGCAUAUAAUCCAGCCUAAUAUAAAGUUGAAAUCUGUUCAUCAAAAGUUUUUAAUUUUUAAGAUUACUGGCUCAAUGAUACUUAUAGAAAAUCGAAAGCUGAUCCCAAUGAAUAUUUUUUAGGAUAAAACAUUUUUUUCUUCUGUAUCAUAGGAGAUGGAUACAGAGUGAUGGAUUUGAUGAGGCAGGUUAUGCUAUAUGAAGGAUAUCUUAAAAUGAAAAAAUAAUUUAUACUGAACAAAUCACAGUGUGGUUGUAAUAUUGAAGAAAGUGAUUUAUUCUCUGUAGCUUAGUUGUGCUUUCUAAAUGUAUAUCUAGUAACUAGAAUUUAUAUGUGUACCCAGAUUCAAUGAAAUGAUUUUCUAUUUGAAGUAAUUUUUCAUUGAAAAUUUAACACACUUUCUUUGAAAAUCUUUUUUUUUGCAUGUGUUUCUGUAUUGAAACACUUAUAGGAACUAUAAUGAUUCAUGGCAAAAAAUGUAUUUACCUGG